Molecule: ribosomal RNA, 495 nt
Filed under: uncultured bacterium
Lineage: Bacteria
Description: bacterial SSU rRNA
Rfam family: Bacterial small subunit ribosomal RNA
Source: RNAcentral
AUGAACGCUAGCGGCAGGCUUAACACAUGCAAGUCGAGGGGCAUCGGGAGUAGCAAUACUUGCCGGCGACCGGCGCAAGGGUGCGUAACGCGUGAGCAACAUGCCCGUAUCAGGGGGAUAAUCCAUGGAAACGUGGUCUAAUACCCCAUAGUAAUUAUGUAAGGCAUCUUAUAUAAUUUAAAGCUUUGGUGGAUACGGAUUGGCUCGCGUGACAUUAGCUGGAUGGUAAGGUAACGGCUUACCAUGGCUACGAUGUCUAGGGGUUCUGAGAGGAAGGUCCCCCACACUGGAACUGAGACACGGUCCAGACUCCUACGGGAGGCAGCAGUGAGGAAUAUUGGACAAUGGAUGGAAAUCUGAUCCAGCCAUGCCGCGUGCAAGGAAGACGGCCCUAUGGGUUGUAAACUGCUUUUGUAUGGGAGCAAUAAGGGCUACGUGUAGUCCGAUGAGAGUACCAUACGAAUAAGCACCGGCUAACUCCGUGCCAGCCGCGGC